UUAACGCGAAGGAAACCUUACCAGGGCUUGACAUGGGGAGGCUGUAUUCAGAGAUGGAUAUUUCCUGCAAGGGACCUCCUGCACAGGUGCUGCAUGGCUGUCGUCAGCUCGUGUCGUGAGAUGUUGGGUUAAGUCCCGCAACGAGCGCAACCCUCGCCUUUAGUUGCCAGCAUGAUUGGGUGGGCACUCUAAAGGAACUGCCGGUGACAAGCCGGAGGAAGGUGGGGAUGACGUCAAGUCCUCAUGGCCCUUAUGUCCUGGGCUACACACGUGCUACAAUGGCGGUGACAGUGGGGAGCCAGGCAGUGAUGCCGAGCUGAUCUCAAAAAGCCGUCUCAGUUCGGAUUGCACUCUGCAACUCGAGUGCAUGAAGGUGGAAUCGCUAGUAAUCGCGGAUCAGCAUACCGCGGGAAACGACAU
Molecule: ribosomal RNA, 420 nt
Filed under: Gluconacetobacter sp. SB20
Lineage: Bacteria; Pseudomonadati; Pseudomonadota; Alphaproteobacteria; Acetobacterales; Acetobacteraceae
Description: bacterial SSU rRNA
Rfam family: Bacterial small subunit ribosomal RNA
Source: RNAcentral